Molecule: ribosomal RNA, 283 nt
Filed under: Tremella mesenterica
Lineage: Eukaryota; Fungi; Basidiomycota; Tremellomycetes; Tremellales; Tremellaceae
Description: partial large subunit ribosomal RNA
Rfam family: Eukaryotic large subunit ribosomal RNA
Source: RNAcentral
AGUACCGUGAGGGAAAGAUGAAAAGCACUUUGGAAAGAGAGUUAAACAGUACGUGAAAUUGUUGGAAGGGAAACGAUUGAAGUCAGUCGUGUCCGAGGGGUUCAGCCGGUCCUGCYGGUGCACUCCCCUCGGACGGGUCAACAUCGGUUCUGUCCGGCGGACAAGGGCAGGGGGAACGUGACACCCUCGUGGUGUGUUAUAGCCCCCCGUCGCAUACGUCGGUCGGGACCGAGGAUCGCAGCUCGCCCUCACGGGCCGGGGUUCGCCCACGUCCGAGCUUAGG